Molecule: unclassified non-coding RNA, 530 nt
Filed under: Hevea brasiliensis (rubber tree)
Lineage: Eukaryota; Viridiplantae; Streptophyta; Magnoliopsida; Malpighiales; Euphorbiaceae
Source: RNAcentral
GAGAGAGAGAGAGAGAGAGUAACUGUGGUAUUAUUGAUUUGAUGAAUAACUAUCAAUUACAAUGAAGGGCUAUUUAUACCAUUCACCCUUAUUUUCUAUUUCAAUGUGUAACUACUUAAUCCAAUUCAGCUCACUAAUUGCUUAGUCAUAGCACGUUGCUCAUGUGAAUUGUGAUUCCUUCCUCACUGUUUUAUAAUAAGUAAUAACACAAUCAACCAAUAGUUAUAACUAGGUUCAAGUUGGGCCAAAUCUAAUGUAUUGAGUUGAGCUCGAUCCAACCUAGGGUUUUGGGCUUGUUUAAGAAAUCAAGUUUGACAUAUAACAUUUGUUAUAUAUUAAGGGUUUGUUUAGGACUCAUAUUGGAGUUGCUAUUGGGAAAAUCACCAGCUUCAAUAUGUUAAUUAGAGACCAUUAAUUUUUUUUAUAUGUUAAAUUUAACAUGAAAACAAUAAUUUCAAACUACUUUUUGUAAAAUCUAGAUUGGAAAAGUGGUUUCAACGAAUGCCUAACAUACUCCAAAAGUAGGGGUG